UACGUAGGGCGCAAGCGUUGUCCGGAAUUAUUGGGCGUAAAGAGCUUAUAGGUGGCUUGUCGCGUCUGCCGUGAAAACCCGAGGCUCAACCUCGGGCGGUGCGGUGGGUACGGGCAAUACUUGAGUGCUGUAGGGGAGACUGGAAUUCCUGGUGUAGCGGUGAAAUGCGUAGAGAUUAGGAGGAACAUCGAUGGCGAAGGCAGCCAUCUGGACCAGCACUGACGCUGAGGCACGAAAGCGUGGGGAGGCAAACAGGAUUAGAUA
This 264-nucleotide ribosomal RNA is filed under the name uncultured prokaryote. Its description in RNAcentral is "partial 16S ribosomal RNA". It matches the Rfam family "Bacterial small subunit ribosomal RNA", at positions 524 to 784 of the family's 1533-position model. The record is from RNAcentral.